Molecule: ribosomal RNA, 254 nt
Filed under: uncultured bacterium
Lineage: Bacteria
Description: partial 16S ribosomal RNA
Rfam family: Bacterial small subunit ribosomal RNA
Source: RNAcentral
UACAGAGGGUGCAAGCGUUUAAUCGGAAUUACUGGGCGUAAAGCGUGCGCAGGCGGUUUUGUAAGUCUGUCGUGAAAGCCCCGGGCUUAACCUGGGAAUUGCGAUGGAGACUGCAAGGCUUGAAUCUGGCAGAGGGGGGUAGAAUUCCACGUGUAGCAGUGAAAUGCGUAGAGAUGUGGAGGAACACCGAUGGCGAAGGCAGCCCCCUGGGUCAAGAUUGACGCUCAUGCACGAAAGCGUGGGGAGCAAACAGG